Molecule: long non-coding RNA, 921 nt
Organism: Apodemus sylvaticus (European woodmouse)
Lineage: Eukaryota; Metazoa; Chordata; Mammalia; Rodentia; Muridae
Exons: 3
Source: RefSeq, a predicted model, not a curated record
UUCACACAUGCAUUUAACAAUGUGAGCUCUUAGCUUCCUGUCCUGCUGCCAUACUUACUCCGCUGCUGUCAUGUCACCCUGCCACGGACACUCAUUCCUCUGUAACUUGAAUAAGCAAAGUUCUCCAUUCUGCUGUGUUUCUGGAGCCAUGACCUCAGCUACAACACUGAAUAUUUUCCUCAAGAUUGAUUUGAAUACAGAAUUAACUAUUAUACCAUACUUCCUGCCAGUGAAUCCUUAAACUGUGUCAAAUAUUGAAAGCAGUGGAGAGGGAUGAAAAGAAAAAAGAGGACACCAGAAAGAAGAGAAGGAAAGAUAGAAGAUGAAGUUGAUGAAAUGUGAGAAAAACUGGAUACCAAGAAGGAAGUUAAAAGAAAGUAAAAAAAGAAAAAUAAAAAGAAACACCACCUGUCACAUGUAUCCAACUAGUCUCACUGAAGUUUCAGUAGCUGGCAUUUCAUCUGUCAUAUGAAAACAUUUUCAAUACCGUCUACCAACACAGCACUAAAUUCUGGACUACCAUUAAUGUCAACCCAUUUAUAAUUUUGGCUUGCAGCGCUACAAAAAGGCAGAUGACAGCCCACUAUUUCACACCUGCUGCUGAAAUGAAUAAAAAUGACUGAAAUCUUUAAAACCACAAGAAAGUGGGAAGGGAAAAGAAAUAAAGCAAAGGGUGACUACACUGUAAAAACCAAUGGAAACUCCCUGCUUACCUUGAGUUUGAGGCCCAGGCCUGAGAUAAGAUGACUUCAAUAGAUCUAGUAAUAUGUAUGGAAGAGCCCACAAGGAGAAGCUGACAUGUUUGGGAAGAUUCUUGUCUAUGUCUGAUUGGUGUGAUUUACACAGCUACUUCCAACUUUGUAGCUUAUUCCCAUCAACAGGAUUGUCCAUUGCCCAAAUAAAUAAAUAACUUUCUCAAUA